GCAGCUGCAGUGAAACCGUUGAAAAAUUCUAUACAGAAUAUUACUCUUAUACUUAUCUUUCACACUCGUUGGUUCGUCGAACUAGCAAACUCCAACGUCUCACUAGGCCAUGAGUUCAAAAACGAGGGUUUUGGUCCUGGCACAGUUAUUUUAUGUGAUCAGGUUCUUACUGAGGGUAAACAAAAAGAUGUACUUAAAGCUGCCGGUGCAUUGUUUUCACAUAUUUGUGAGGUUUAGGCAAGGUUAAUGUGCAUCACAUUUAUGGACAAGCUAGUAUCGUGGGGGUUAAUGUUGGGAUAGAAUGACUUUGUUGGAUAUAUGGAUGAAUGUAUCGAAUCUUUACAUAAAUAAAUGUG
Rosa rugosa (rugosa rose) is the source of this 356-nucleotide long non-coding RNA. RefSeq lists it as uncharacterized. NCBI's taxonomy places the organism in Eukaryota, Viridiplantae, Streptophyta, Magnoliopsida, Rosales, Rosaceae. The transcript has 3 exons. The record is from RefSeq and is a predicted model, not a curated record.